This 76-nucleotide transfer RNA is filed under the name Plestiodon brevirostris (shortnose skink). Its description in RNAcentral is "tRNA-Leu". It matches the Rfam family "tRNA". Rfam says of the family: Transfer RNA (tRNA) molecules are approximately 80 nucleotides in length. Their secondary structure includes four short double-helical elements and three loops (D, anti-codon, and T loops). Lineage: Eukaryota; Metazoa; Chordata; Lepidosauria; Squamata; Scincidae. The record is from RNAcentral.
UAUUGGGGUGGCAGAGCCAGGUACAUGCAUAAGGCCUAAAACCUUUACUUCAGGUGUUCAAAUCACCUCCCUAAUC